GGGUAUGAGAGUCAUUUGUGGCAUAACUUCAACAGACAUGACAGGGCUGACUUUGAGUUGAAUUAUAAAAUUUCCAAAUGAGGAUGUCCAGGAACCAGAUAGACACGUGAGUUAGAAGCUCAGAAAGCAGGUCACCAUCACCUCUUAUCUGAUCAUUGCAACACUUGCUUACUUGUCCUCCUAUCACCAGAUCUGGCUCCUGACAAUUCACCUUGCGUAAAUAAUUUACAUUUCUAGAGAACAAGCUCUUUAUGGUACAUAGAAAUAAUCCUGUCAUACAGUGACCAUUCGGAGAGGGAUAAAAACCUUAUAUAUGAAACUUUCACUAAUAACCUGAAACAUCACCACAGAGACAGUUGGGUUAUCCUGUUUGUUUGGACAUCCACUUAUUCACUUGAAAUGCAGGAAAUCUAUUUGAAAAAAACAAAACAAAACAUGAUCAGUUACUUGAUACAAUCAUGAGAUGUGAUCGAGAAAAACUUAUUAAGGAAUUAUUUUGUCAGAGUCAGUCUCUCUCAACAAGGUAAGCUACUUUUUCAAUGUUUCUGAUUAGAGUAGAUCCUUGAUGUUUAUUAUCAGUGUCAUCAUCAUUAAUGAAAAUAGUACGAGAAUAUACAAAGAUGCAUAAGUGAGUAAUGGUGUAACAUUCUAACAUUUCUAAGAUGUGAAUUUGGAUCUUGCCAUGCAAGAUCGAAGAAAAAGAAGAGAAUGUUUUCUGAAAAAUGAAAUUUUGGAUAAAUUUGAAGGGGCGUUAGACUGUGGCAAAGGAAAUGCAUGACAAAUCUUGGGAAUAGAAUAAGGGAAGAAACUUGGUGAGAGCUAUUUUGAUUUACAGGCCAGUUGUUGACAUUGUAGUAUCCUCUCUUUGAACACUGGAAUUGAGCAACUUCAAAGAGUCAUUGGACCAAGGUCUUCAUGCUUCAAAUAAACCUGCAUCAAAGAAACCUGGCUAGAAGACAAAGAUCAUGCUUUAUUCCCCCACAAAAGGAUUAUGUUUAGAUUUAAUGUUGAUGCCUCAGUUAAGUGCUCACUUUGAAAAUCAAUACAACAUUGUGUGCUUGGUUGGCUCAAUACCUCUCAGUCAAUAUUAAUAAAAAAACAGCAACAA
Molecule: long non-coding RNA, 1108 nt
Filed under: Homo sapiens (human)
Lineage: Eukaryota; Metazoa; Chordata; Mammalia; Primates; Hominidae
Description: long non-coding RNA NONHSAT160268.1
Source: RNAcentral